This 784-nucleotide ribosomal RNA is filed under the name uncultured Neisseria sp. Its description in RNAcentral is "bacterial SSU rRNA". It matches the Rfam family "Bacterial small subunit ribosomal RNA", at positions 727 to 1512 of the family's 1533-position model. The record is from RNAcentral. Lineage: Bacteria; Pseudomonadati; Pseudomonadota; Betaproteobacteria; Neisseriales; Neisseriaceae.
UCCUGGGAUAACACUGACGUUCAUGCUCGAAAGCGUGGGUAGCAAACAGGAUUAGAUACCCUGGUAGUCCACGCCCUAAACGAUGUCAAUCAGCUGUUGGGCAACUUGAUUGCUUAGUAGCGUAGCUAACGCGUGAAAUUGACCGCCUGGGGAGUACGGUCGCAAGAUUAAAACUCAAAGGAAUUGACGGGGACCCGCACAAGCGGUGGAUGAUGUGGAUUAAUUCGAUGCAACGCGAAGAACCUUACCUGGUCUUGACAUGUACGGAAUCCUCCAGAGACGGAGGAGUGCCUUCGGGAGCCGUAACACAGGUGCUGCAUGGCUGUCGUCAGCUCGUGUCGUGAGAUGUUGGGUUAAGUCCCGCAACGAGCGCAACCCUUGUCAUUAGUUGCCAUCAUUUAGUUGGGCACUCUAAUGAGACUGCCGGUGACAAGCCGGAGGAAGGUGGGGAUGACGUCAAGUCCUCAUGGCCCUUAUGACCAGGGCUUCACACGUCAUACAAUGGUCGGUACAGAGGGUAGCCAAGCCGCGAGGUGGAGCCAAUCUCACAAAACCGAUCGUAGUCCGGAUUGCACUCUGCAACUCGAGUGCAUGAAGUCGGAAUCGCUAGUAAUCGCAGGUCAGCAUACUGCGGUGAAUACGUUCCCGGGUCUUGUACACACCGCCCGUCACACCAUGGGAGUGGGGGAUACCAGAAGUAGGUAGGGUAACCGCAAGGAGCCCGCUUACCACGGUAUGCUUCAUGACUGGGGUGAAGUCGUAACAAGGUAGCCGUAGGGGAACC